Molecule: non-coding RNA, 1157 nt
Organism: Chrysemys picta bellii (western painted turtle)
Lineage: Eukaryota; Metazoa; Chordata; Testudines; Emydidae
Source: RefSeq, a predicted model, not a curated record
AAAUAUUUUCUUUUUUUCAAGUUCAUACUGGAGGCUGAUUGAAAAUCCAGGCGAUUGAAUACUCAGUCUCUUAGUUACAGGGUAAAGGCACGUCUAUUUUGGUUAAACGCAGAACACGAAUAGAUUCAGUUGCAUCAAACUGAUCUUAUAACCAAUAUGGAAUCAGAAAAUGGCUCAGUUCUUAGCUUUAAGUAAACUAGGGCAGAGUGUUCCCAAGAUUCACCUUUACGAUGCGUUGCAGCCGGGCCAUAGACAUUAGCUCCAUUGUUCAGCUAACUCAGAAAUAAGCUGGCCCCACUCUCCUUGGCACUAGGCACCCAAGAUUUGUCUAGCAUCACAGCAACAGCAAUAAGAGAGGGUAGCAGUGUAUUGUAGGACAGUAACAUGGCCGCAUAACAAUACGGAAAUGCCAGUGCUGAACUGAUGAGUGUGUUGCUUGCUGGCCACGGUCCAGCUGUGGCCCUCUUGAUCAGUGGGCGGGGGACGGUUCCUGUCCCCUGUAGAAAAUAUAACAUUUUUCUUGGGUUUAUAAAAUAUCAGUGUCAAGAUGAGCAUUGACUUUGUCUUACAAAAUGUAUGUAGCGUGGAUGAAUAAACCGUUAUGUCCACUUGCAGCAAAGCAAGUCGUAGGUAGCACAGAAGCACAUUGAUUUUUUUUCUCUCCUAUCUUUCCAGGGCUCUGACUGGUCAAAAUUUGCCAGGCAGAAACGCAGCAAAUGUCACUGUUGCUCUUGGAUCCAAAUAAUGACCUUAUGCUGUGAAGUUUGCAACAGUCUCAUGCCCUCGUACAUUGCAGGGAGAGCUGGCUGGCUGAGUGGCGAAAUCCAGCCACAAAGAAUCAAGGGGUGGUGGUGGUAAUGCUGAGCUUGUAUCAGGCUUCAGAGUUUGCACACUAAUUAUGCCCACCAUUAGUCCUGUGGGACAGAACUCAGAUUUUCCUGCAUCCACAUUUUAGAACUGUUUGACAUCAUGGGAACGAUCGAUGCGACAAAUUAAGCCUUUGGCUUCAUGGCGUGAGAAGUUACAAAGGGGAUGAAAUGAAGAAAAGGGCUGGCAACUUACGAGAACAGGCUACUACUUCAUCUCUGCCCUAUCUGAGACCAUGAAAGCCUGCAGUCUAGCCCCUGGAAUGAAAAUACUGAAACAACAAGUACUAA